This 460-nucleotide ribosomal RNA is filed under the name uncultured bacterium. Its description in RNAcentral is "partial 16S ribosomal RNA". It matches the Rfam family "Bacterial small subunit ribosomal RNA", at positions 28 to 523 of the family's 1533-position model. The record is from RNAcentral.
GAUGAGCGCUGGCGGCGUGCCUAAUACAUGCAAGUCGAGCGGUAAGGCCCCGUCGGGGGUACACGAGCGGCGGACGGCUGAGUAACACGUAGGAACGUACCCCAAAGUGAGGGAUAACUGCUCGAAAGAGUAGCUAAUACCGCAUGUGAUCCACGGAUUAAAGCUUUAUGCGCUUUGGGAACGGCCUGCGUCCGAUUAGCUUGUUGGUGAGGUAAUAGCUCACCAAGGCGAUGAUCGGUAGCUGGUCUGAGAGGAUGAUCAGCCAGACUGGGACUGAGACACGGCCCAGACUCCUACGGGAGGCAGCAGUAGGGAAUUUUCCACAAUGGGCGAAAGCCUGAUGGAGCAACGCCGCGUGCAGGAUGAAUGCCUUAGGGUUGUAAACUGCUUUUAAUAGUGACGAUUAUGACGGUAACUAUUGAAUAAGGACCUGCUAACUACGUGCCAGCAGCCGCGGUAA